AAAAAAAAAAUAUAAGCAGCAUUAGGUUUAAUCUUUUAAACUAAGGCAAAUUAUAAUGUACUCCUUGUCAGCUACUGAGACUGGUAUGGGAAUCUUAAUUGUCAUUAGGUAGGAAAAAUGUGAUGUACUGGCCAAAUUCAUUUGUUUAUUGGAAAAUAUACAUUAAGAAGGAUAUUGUUCUACAUACUUCUACUUAAGCCGGGCCUUAGUGAGUUAUCUGGAUG
This 224-nucleotide unclassified non-coding RNA is filed under the name Hevea brasiliensis (rubber tree). Lineage: Eukaryota; Viridiplantae; Streptophyta; Magnoliopsida; Malpighiales; Euphorbiaceae. The record is from RNAcentral.